CCUACGGGCGGCAGCAGUGAGGAAUAUUGGUCAAUGGGCGCGAGCCUUAACCAGCCAAGUAGCGUGAAGGAUGACUGCCCUACGGGUUGUCAACUUCUUUUAUAAAGGAAUAAAGUGAGGCACGUGUGCCUUUUUGUAUGUAUUUUAUGAUUAAGGAUCGGCUAACUCCGUGCCAGCAGCCGCGGUAAUACGGAGGAUCCGAGCGUUAUCCGGUUUUCUUGGGUUUAAAGGGAGCGUAGGCGGGUUGUUCAGUCAGUUGUGAAAGUUUGCGGCUCAACCGUAAAAUUGCAGUUGAUACUGGCAUCCUUGAGUACAGUAGAGGUAGGCGGAAUUCGGGGUGUAGCGGUGAAAUGCUUAGAUAUCACGAAGAACUCCGAUUGCGAAGGCAGCCGGCUGGACUGUAACUGACGCUGAUGCUCGAAAGUGUGGGUAUCAAACAGGAUUAGAUACCCUUGUAGUC
RNAcentral lists this ribosomal RNA (460 nucleotides) under uncultured bacterium. RNAcentral describes it as "partial 16S ribosomal RNA". It matches the Rfam family "Bacterial small subunit ribosomal RNA", at positions 338 to 795 of the family's 1533-position model. The record is from RNAcentral.